AUUGAACGCUGGCGGCAUGCUUUACACAUGCAAGUCGAACGGUAACAGGUUAAGCUGACGAGUGGCGAACGGGUGAGUAGUGCAUCGGAACGUGCCCGAUCGUGGGGGAUAACGCAGCGAAGGCUGCGCUAAUACCGCAUACGAUCUGAGGAUGAAAGCGGGGGACCGUAAGGCCUCGCGCGAUCGGAGCGGCCGAUGUCAGAUUAGGUAGUUGGUGGGGUAAAGGCCCACCAAGCCGACGAUCUGUAGCUGGUCUGAGAGGACGACCAGCCACACUGGGACUGAGACACGGCCCAGACUCCUACGGGAGGCAGCAGUGGGGAAUUUUGGACAAUAGGCGAAAGCCUGAUCCAGCAAUGCCGCGUGCAGGAAGAAGGCCUUCGGGUUGUAAACUGCUUUUGUACGGAGCGAAAAGGUCCUUUCUAAUACAGGGGGCUCAUGACGGUACCGUAAGAAUAAGCACCGGCUAACUACGUGCCAGCAGCCGCCGUAA
RNAcentral lists this ribosomal RNA (493 nucleotides) under uncultured bacterium. Its description in RNAcentral is "partial 16S ribosomal RNA". It matches the Rfam family "Bacterial small subunit ribosomal RNA", at positions 29 to 523 of the family's 1533-position model. The record is from RNAcentral.